AGUGAACGCUGGCGGCGUGCUUAACACAUGCAAGUCGAACGAGAACGGGCUAUAGCUUGCUAUAGUUGUCAGCUAAGUGGCGCACGGGUGAGUAAUGUAUAGGUAAUAUGCCUCUUACUAAGGGAUAACAAAUGGAAACGUUUGCUAAUACCUUAUACUCCUUAUUAACAGAAGUUAAUAAGGGAAAGAUUUAUUGGUAAGAGAUUAGCCUGUAUUGUAUCAGUUAGUUGGUGGGGUAAUGGCUGACCAAGACUAUGACACAUAACUGGUUUGAGAGGAUGGUCGGUCACACUGGAACUGGGACACGGUCCAGACUCCUACGGGAGGCAGCAGUGGGGAAUAUUGCACAAUGGACGGAAGUCUGAUGCAGCAACGCCGCGUGGAGGAUGACACAUUUCGGUGCGUAAACUCCUUUUAUAUGAGAAGAUAAUGACGGUAUUAUAUGAAUAAGCACCGGCUAACUCCGUGCCAGCAGCCGCUGUAA
Molecule: ribosomal RNA, 484 nt
Filed under: uncultured bacterium
Lineage: Bacteria
Description: partial 16S ribosomal RNA
Rfam family: Bacterial small subunit ribosomal RNA
Source: RNAcentral